RNAcentral lists this ribosomal RNA (712 nucleotides) under Arthrobacter sp. RNAcentral describes it as "bacterial SSU rRNA". It matches the Rfam family "Bacterial small subunit ribosomal RNA", at positions 54 to 779 of the family's 1533-position model. The record is from RNAcentral. Lineage: Bacteria; Bacillati; Actinomycetota; Actinomycetes; Micrococcales; Micrococcaceae.
CAUGCAGUCGAACGAUGAUGCCCAGCUUGCUGGGUGGAUUAGUGGCGAACGGGUGAGUAACACGUGAGUAACCUGCCCUUAACUCUGGGAUAAGCCUGGGAAACUGGGUCUAAUACCGGAUAUGACUCCUCAUCGCAUGGUGGGGGGUGGAAAGCUUUUUGUGGUUUUGGAUGGACUCGCGGCCUAUCAGCUUGUUGGUGAGGUAAUGGCUUACCAAGGCGACGACGGGUAGCCGGCCUGAGAGGGUGACCGGCCACACUGGGACUGAGACACGGCCCAGACUCCUACGGGAGGCAGCAGUGGGGAAUAUUGCACAAUGGGCGCAAGCCUGAUGCAGCGACGCCGCGUGAGGGAUGACGGCCUUCGGGUUGUAAACCUCUUUCAGUAGGGAAGAAGCGAAAGUGACGGUACCUGCAGAAGAAGCGCCGGCUAACUACGUGCCAGCAGCCGCGGUAAUACGUAGGGCGCAAGCGUUAUCCGGAAUUAUUGGGCGUAAAGAGCUCGUAGGCGGUUUGUCGCGUCUGCCGUGAAAGUCCGGGGCUCAACUCCGGAUCUGCGGUGGGUACGGGCAGACUAGAGUGAUGUAGGGGAGACUGGAAUUCCUGGUGUAGCGGUGAAAUGCGCAGAUAUCAGGAGGAACACCGAUGGCGAAGGCAGGUCUCUGGGCAUUAACUGACGCUGAGGAGCGAAAGCAUGGGGAGCGAACAGGAUU